GGAGGCAUCGCAUAGUGGCCAAUUGCACAAGAUUGCUAAUCUUGAACCGUUUACGGUUUCGAGGGUUCGAAUCCCUCUGCCUCCG
Molecule: transfer RNA, 85 nt
Filed under: Minisyncoccota bacterium
Lineage: Bacteria; Bacillati; Minisyncoccota
Description: tRNA-Ser
Rfam family: tRNA
About the family: Transfer RNA (tRNA) molecules are approximately 80 nucleotides in length. Their secondary structure includes four short double-helical elements and three loops (D, anti-codon, and T loops).
Source: RNAcentral